GACGAACGCUGGCGGCGUGCUUAACACAUGCAAGUCGAACGGAAAGGCCUCUUUUGGGGGGUACACGAGAGGCGAACGGGUGUGUAACACGUGAGUAACCCGUCCCUGUAAUUGUGAUAACACUUGGAAAAAGGGGCUAUAAUCGGGUAGAAGAUCCUGCUGCACGUUGGGGGUUGGUAAGAUUUGGCGGUUGGGGAUGGAUUCGCGGCUUAUCAGCUGGUUGGUGGGGUAUUGGUUUACCAAGGCUUUGCCGGGGAGCCGGCCCGGGAGGGGGACCGGGCCCAAUGGGACUGAGAGACGGCGCAGACGCCAACGGGAGGCAACAGUGGGGAAUAUGGCACAAUGGGUGGGAGCCGGAUGCAACAACGCCGGGGGCGGGAAGACGGCUUUCGGGUUGUAAACCGCUUUCGCUCAUGACGGAGCUUUGUGUGACGGUAGUGGGUAAAGAAGCACCGGCUAACUACGUG
This 467-nucleotide ribosomal RNA is filed under the name uncultured bacterium. Its description in RNAcentral is "partial 16S ribosomal RNA". It matches the Rfam family "Bacterial small subunit ribosomal RNA", at positions 28 to 507 of the family's 1533-position model. The record is from RNAcentral.